RNAcentral lists this long non-coding RNA (1214 nucleotides) under Equus asinus (donkey). RNAcentral describes it as "lncRNA (ENSEASG00005031928.1)". The record is from RNAcentral. Lineage: Eukaryota; Metazoa; Chordata; Mammalia; Perissodactyla; Equidae.
AUUACAUGUCGUUACCGUCUCUCCUCAGACUGCUGUUGGUGGUGGCAGUUUCUCAGACUUUGUUUGUUCCUAAUGACCUUAAAAGUUUUGAAGGGUACUGGUCAGGUAUUUUGUCAGAUGCCUCCAUACUGGGAUUUGUCCGGUGUUUUUAUCAAGGCUCCCUUCCUAAGAGGAGUUCUGCCAGAUAGAUCAGGAGAAACAGAGAAAACAGUAUCAUAGAAGCCAAGGAAGGAGAAUAUUUUGAGAAAAAAUUAUUCCCAUGUUAUAAGUAUUUGGUUCUAGAAGAAAUUUCAUACUGUAGCCAUAUUCUUAUGACUUAUAGUUUAAAAGUAGAAAGCUCACCCUGUUUCCACUCUUCUAUGAAGUCAGGGGGCCCCAUCCAUCAUCCUGUUAUUUUCCAGAGCAAGCACUUCCCUGCCAUGAAAUGCAGAAUACUGACAACAAGUUGAUUGUCUUAAUACCAGCAUAUAAUGUCACUCAGCGACUUCUAUAUGCUGAUUAUCUUUAUUUGCUAAUCAACAUACUAUUUCCUUUCAUUCACAAAAGUUUUUGAUGAAAGGAGAUUUUUAAAAAUGAUAUUUGAGUCUACAAAACCUGUGCAGAUCACGAUAUUUACAUUUCAGAAAUGCAACAUUAACAUAAAAAUUCAAUCUUCAUGUAUCUUUCUGUCAGGAUAAAAACUCAAAGGAAAAUUAUAACUCUCAAAGGAUAGCAAGGCACAGCAGUCUUUGAAGACCUCACAUAUAAAAAUCAAUGUAUGGAUUGCUUAUCAUUUCCUCCUACAUGAGAAAUACAACAUGCAUAGUGGUAUUCUUUUUUCAAUCUCUCUCUUUCCGAAGACAUUUGUGAAAGGAGGAAAAGUAGGAUGCAAAUAUCAAAAAAAUAGGAAAUUAUUUAAAACUUUUGGUUUGAUAUAUAUCUGUAAAGCAAAAAAAUACACAGAUUUCUAUGCAGUGGGAGUGCUAAGUAAGAAGUGGUUAAAAAAAUUUAGAAACACCAAAACUUGGAAUAAUCACAGUAACACAUGUAUUGCUAAAUUUAUGAGAUACAAGUAAGAUAAAUUUUAAAAUAAUAUGCCAUCUUACUAUAAGCCACAAACAUAUACUACCUUCAAUUCAUAGAAUUAUUUUUAGAAAAUACAAAGGAGCAUGGAGAAAAAAAAUUACCAAUAAUUCCCAUGCAGAGAAAAACACUAUUAGGAUUUCAUAUAUUUC